This 484-nucleotide ribosomal RNA is filed under the name uncultured bacterium. RNAcentral describes it as "partial 16S ribosomal RNA". It matches the Rfam family "Bacterial small subunit ribosomal RNA", at positions 30 to 507 of the family's 1533-position model. The record is from RNAcentral.
AUUGAACGCUGGCGGAAUGCUUUACACAUGCAAGUCGAGCGGCAGCACGGGGGCAACCCUGGUGGCGAGCGGCGAACGGGUGAGUAAUACAUCGGAACAUGCCCAGUCGUGGGGGAUAACACUUCGAAAGAAGUGCUAAUACCGCAUACGUCCUGAGGGGGAAAGCGGGGGAUCGCAAGACCUCGCGCGAUUGGAGUGGCCGAUGUCAGAUUAGCUAGUUGGUGGGGUAAAGGCCUACCAAGGCAACGAUCUGUAGCUGGUCUGAGAGGAUGAUCAGCCACACUGGGACUGAGACACGGCCCAGACUCCUACGGGAGGCAGCAGUGGGGAAUUUUGGACAAUGGGGGCAACCCUGAUCCAGCCAUUCCGCGUGAGUGAUGAAGGCCUUCGGGUUGUAAAGCUCUUUCGGCAGGAACGAAACGGUGAGCUCUAACAUAGCUUGCUAAUGACGGUACCUGAAGAAGAAGCACCGGCUAACUACGUG